RNAcentral lists this ribosomal RNA (465 nucleotides) under uncultured bacterium. RNAcentral describes it as "partial 16S ribosomal RNA". It matches the Rfam family "Bacterial small subunit ribosomal RNA", at positions 28 to 507 of the family's 1533-position model. The record is from RNAcentral.
GACGAACGCUGGCGGCGUGCUUAACACAUGCAAGUCGUACGGUAAGGCCCUUUCGGGGGUACACGAGUGGCGAACGGGUGAGUAACACGUGAGUAACCUGCCCACAACUUUGGGAUAACGCUAGGAAACUGGUGCUAAUACUGGAUAUGUGCUCCUGCUGCAUGGUGGGGGUUGGAAAGCUCCGGCGGUUGUGGAUGGACUCGCGGCCUAUCAGCUUGUUGGUGGGGUAGUGGCCUACCAAGGCGGCGACGGGUAGCCGGCCUGAGAGGGUGACCGGCCACAUUGGGACUGAGAUACGGCCCAGACUCCUACGGGAGGCAGCAGUGGGGAAUAUUGCACAAUGGGCGCAAGCCUGAUGCAGCAACUCCGCGUGCGGGAUGACGGCCUUCGGGUUGUAAACCGCUUUCAGCAGGGACGAAGCUUUUUGUGACGGUACCUGCAGAAGAAGCACCGGCUAACUACGUG